AGGUCCAACCUUAGAUUAAGGGUAGAGAAGAUUGCAAAUGAGGGUAAAAGGGUUGAGAUAGCAGAGAUUCCCCUGUCUAGCUCUACAAUAGUCUCACAUCUGGGCAGAUUGGGGAAGAAGACUAUGGUGAAGGAGGUUAGAAGGCAAAAUCUAGCAAAUGUAUCAUCUCAUGGUGAAGCCUUGGCAUCGGAUCUAAAGAAGAAAGGCCUAAACGGUUUGCCUC
This 223-nucleotide long non-coding RNA is filed under the name Elaeis guineensis (African oil palm). RNAcentral describes it as "long non-coding RNA (EGUI_LNC065231)". Lineage: Eukaryota; Viridiplantae; Streptophyta; Magnoliopsida; Arecales; Arecaceae. The record is from RNAcentral.